RNAcentral lists this ribosomal RNA (549 nucleotides) under uncultured bacterium. Its description in RNAcentral is "partial 16S ribosomal RNA". It matches the Rfam family "Bacterial small subunit ribosomal RNA", at positions 355 to 889 of the family's 1533-position model. The record is from RNAcentral.
UAGGGAAUCUUCCGCAAUGGACGAAAGUCUGACGGAGCAACGCCGCGUGAGUGAUGAAGGCUUUCGGGUCGUAAAACUCUGUUGUUAGGGAAGAACGAGUGCUAGUUGAAUAAGCUGGCACCUUGACGGUACCUAACCAGAAAGCCACGGCUAACUACGUGCCAGCAGCCGCGGUAAUACGUAGGCGGCAAGCGUUAUCCGGAAUUAUUGGGCGUAAAGCGCGCGCAGGUGGUUUCUUAAGUCUGAUGUGAAAGCCCACGGCUCAACCGUGGAGGGUCAUUGGAAACUGGGAGACUUGAGUGCAGAAGAGGAAAGUGGAAUUCCAUGUGUAGCGGUGAAAUGCGUAGAGAUAUGGAGGAACACCAGUGGCGAAGGCGACUUUCUGGUCUGUAACUGACACUGAGGCGCGAAAAGCGUGGGGAGCAGACAGGAUUAGAUACCCCUGGUAGUCCACGCCGUAAAACGAUGAGUGCUAAGUGUUAGAGGGGUUUCCGCCCUUUAGUGCUGAAAGUUAACGCAUUAAGCACUCCGCCUGGGGAGUACGGCCGC